RNAcentral lists this ribosomal RNA (301 nucleotides) under uncultured bacterium. RNAcentral's name for it is "partial 16S ribosomal RNA". It matches the Rfam family "Bacterial small subunit ribosomal RNA", at positions 509 to 807 of the family's 1533-position model. The record is from RNAcentral.
CAGCAGCCGCGGUAAUACAGAGGAUGCAAGCGUUAUCCGGAAUGAUUGGGCGUAAAGCGUCUGUAGGUGGCUUUUCAAGUCCGCCGUCAAAUCCCCGCGCUCAACCCUGGACAGGCAGUGGAAACUACCAAGCUGGAGUACGGUAGGGGCAGAGGGAAUUUCCGGUGGAGCGGUGAAGUGCGUUGAGAUCGGAAAGAACACCAACGGUGAAAGCACUCUGCUGGGCCGACACUGACACUGAGAGACGGAAGCUAGGGGAGCAAAUGGGAUUAGAUACCCCCGUAGUCCCUGUCUCUUAUAC